This 328-nucleotide ribosomal RNA is filed under the name uncultured Bacteroidota bacterium. Its description in RNAcentral is "bacterial SSU rRNA". It matches the Rfam family "Bacterial small subunit ribosomal RNA", at positions 28 to 351 of the family's 1533-position model. The record is from RNAcentral. Lineage: Bacteria; Pseudomonadati; Bacteroidota.
GAUGAACGCUAGCGGGAGGCUUAACACAUGCAAGUCGAGGGGCAGCACGAGGUAGCAAUACUUUGGUGGCGACCGGCAGACGGGUGAGUAACGCGUAUGUAACCUACCCUGUACUGGGGGAUAACCCGGAGAAAUUCGGACUAAUACCCCAUAGAGAUAUAGAGAGGCAUCUUGAAAUAUUUAAAGUUUCGACGGUACGGGAUGGGCAUGCGUAACAUUAGCUAGUUGGUAAGGUAACGGCUUACCAAGGCUUUGAUGUUUAGGGGUCCUGAGAGGGUGAUCCCCCACACUGGUACUGAGACACGGACCAGACUCCUACGGGAGGCAG